CAAUGACAGUGAGUUUGCAGACGAUUUCAUCUCACUUAAAAUAACGAAAAAACGGUUGGUUUAUGAUAUAGCAAAUCAUUUCUAUAAAUUGGCACAUAACUAAUCACGAAUCGAAAAAGGAUGUUGUUUUUUUUUUAUCAAAUUGAUGCUCAGUUCAGGAUUGUGGAUUUAUAUUAACUGUCUGUCAUGAAAAACCCACAUGAGAAGGUCUUAUUUGGUCUGCUAAAAAAAAAAAGAG
Molecule: long non-coding RNA, 238 nt
Filed under: Mytilus galloprovincialis (Mediterranean mussel)
Lineage: Eukaryota; Metazoa; Mollusca; Bivalvia; Mytilida; Mytilidae
Source: RNAcentral